UACGGAGGGUGCAAACGUUGCUCGGAAUCAUUGGGCGUAAAGGGCUCGUAGGCGGCCAACUAAGUCGGAUGUGAAAUCCCCAGGCUCAACUUGGGAACUGCAUCCGAUACUGGAUGGCUUGAAUUCGGGAGAGGGAUGCAGAAUUCCAGGUGUAGCGGUGAAAUGCGUAGAUAUCUGGAGGAAUACCGGUGGCGAAGGCGGGACUCUGGGCCGAUACUGACGCUGAGGAGCGAAAGCGUGGGGAGCAAACAGG
Molecule: ribosomal RNA, 253 nt
Filed under: uncultured bacterium
Lineage: Bacteria
Description: partial 16S ribosomal RNA
Rfam family: Bacterial small subunit ribosomal RNA
Source: RNAcentral